UCUUCAUUUCACACACUCUCUCACCGGUCAGAGAGGCGAGAGAGUGUGGGAAAUGAAGAGA
This 61-nucleotide microRNA precursor is filed under the name Pristionchus pacificus. RNAcentral's name for it is "mir-8364 microRNA precursor family". It matches the Rfam family "mir-8364 microRNA precursor family". The record is from Rfam by way of RNAcentral. Lineage: Eukaryota; Metazoa; Nematoda; Chromadorea; Rhabditida; Neodiplogasteridae.